UAAUGCUUGGGAAUCUAGCUUAUGGAGGGGGAUAACUACGGGAAACUGUAGCUAAUACCGCGUAGAAUCGGGAGAUGAAAGUGUGGGGCCUUCGGGCCACAUGCCAUAGGAUGAGCCCAAGUGGGAUUAAGUAGUUGGUGAGGUAAAGGCUCACCAAGCCGACGAUCUCUAGCUGGUCUGAGAGGAUGACCAGCCACACUGGGACUGAGACACGGCCCAG
This 220-nucleotide ribosomal RNA is filed under the name uncultured bacterium. RNAcentral's name for it is "partial 16S ribosomal RNA". It matches the Rfam family "Bacterial small subunit ribosomal RNA", at positions 111 to 334 of the family's 1533-position model. The record is from RNAcentral.